Molecule: non-coding RNA, 73 nt
Organism: Trachymyrmex cornetzi
Lineage: Eukaryota; Metazoa; Arthropoda; Insecta; Hymenoptera; Formicidae
Source: Rfam
AAGAGUGUAGCUCAAUUGGUAUAGUUCCUGUCUUCAAAACCGGCGGUUGGAGAUUCGAGUCCUCUCGCUCCUG